RNAcentral lists this ribosomal RNA (511 nucleotides) under uncultured bacterium. RNAcentral describes it as "bacterial SSU rRNA". It matches the Rfam family "Bacterial small subunit ribosomal RNA", at positions 28 to 524 of the family's 1533-position model. The record is from RNAcentral.
GACGAACGCUGGCGGUGUGCUUAACACAUGCAAGUGGUGCGACGAACCAGAGCUUGCUCUGGGGCAAAGCCGCGAACGGGUGAGUAACACGUGGGUAAUCUACCCCGAUGACCGGGACAACCCGAGGAAACUCGGGCUAAUACCGGAUGUGGUACGGAGACAUAAGUCUCUUUACUAAAGGUAGCUUCGGCUUCCGCAUUGGGAGGGGCCCGCGGCCCAUUAGCUAGUUGGAGGGGUCAAGGCCUACCAAGGCAACGAUAGGGGUAGCGUGGUCUGAGAGGACGAUCAGCCACACUGGGACUGAGACACGGCCCAGACUCCUACGGGAGGCAGCAGUGGGGAAUCUUGCGCAAUGCGCGAAAGCGUGACGCAGCAACACCGCGUGAGGGAAGACGGCCUUAGGGUUGUAAACCUCUUUCAGAUGGACGAAGGUGAUGCGGUGAAUAGCCGAUGUCAUUGACGUACCGUCAGAAGAAGCUCCGGCUAACUACGUGCCAGCAGCCGCGGUAAU